CCUACGGGAGGCAGCAGUGAGGAAUAUUGGUCAAUGGACGAGAGUCUGAACCAGCCAAGUAGCGUGAAGGAUGACUGCCCUAUGGGUUGUAAACUUCUUUUAUAUGGGAAUAAAAUGUUCCACGUGUGGGAUUUUGUAUGUACCAUAUGAAGAAGGAUCGGCUAACUCCGUGCCAGCAGCCGCGGUAAUACGGAGGAUCCGAGCGUUAUCCGGAUUGAUUGGGUUUAAAGGGAGCGUAGGUGGAUUGUUAAGUCAGUUGUGAAAGUUUGCGGCUCAACCGUAAAAUUGCAGUUGAAACUGGCAGUCUUGAGUACAGUAGAGGUGGGCGGAAUUCGUGGUGUAGCGGUGAAAUGCUUAGAUAUCACGAAGAACUCCGAUUGCGAAGGCAGCUCACUGGACUGCAACUGACACUGAGGCUCGAAAGUGUGGGUAUCAAACAGGAUUAGAUACCCGAGUAGUC
This 460-nucleotide ribosomal RNA is filed under the name uncultured bacterium. RNAcentral's name for it is "partial 16S ribosomal RNA". It matches the Rfam family "Bacterial small subunit ribosomal RNA", at positions 338 to 795 of the family's 1533-position model. The record is from RNAcentral.